Molecule: ribosomal RNA, 460 nt
Filed under: uncultured bacterium
Lineage: Bacteria
Description: partial 16S ribosomal RNA
Rfam family: Bacterial small subunit ribosomal RNA
Source: RNAcentral
CCUACGGGUGGCAGCAGUGAGGAAUAUUGGUCAAUGGACGCAAGUCUGAACCAGCCAUGCCGCGUGCAGGAAGACGGCUCUAUGAGUUGUAAACUGCUUUUGUACGAGGGUAAACGCAGAUACGCGUAUCUGUCUGAAAGUAUCGUACGAAUAAGGAUCGGCUAACUCCGUGCCAGCAGCCGCGGUAAUACGGGAGAUUCAAGCGUUAUCCGGAUUUAUUGGGUUUAAAGGGUGCGUAGGCGGUCGGUUAAGUUGGAUGUGAAAUCCGGGGGCUCAACUUCGGAAGUGCCUUGGAUACUGUUCAGCUAGAGAGUAGUAGCGGUAGGCGGAAUGUAUGGUGUAGCGGUGAAAUGCGUAGAGAUCAUACAGAACACCGAGUGCGAAGGCAGCUUACCAGGCUACUUCUGACGUUGAGGCACGAAAGCGUGGGGAGCAAACAGGAUUAGAUACCCCAGUAGUC